GUACUCUGUUUGGUGGCAUAUAGACGAAAAUUGGAACAAUACUGAGAUUAGCAUGGCCCCUGAGCAAGAAUGAUAGGCAAAUUUGUGAAGUAUUUAAAAAAAAA
This is a small nuclear RNA of Pteronotus mesoamericanus, 104 nucleotides long. NCBI's taxonomy places the organism in Eukaryota, Metazoa, Chordata, Mammalia, Chiroptera, Mormoopidae. The record is from RefSeq and is a predicted model, not a curated record.